GUUGUGUUGUUUGAGUUGAUGAGGUUAUUUAUGAGUGGCAUGGUCCAUUGAAUAUCGACAUUGGUGUGAAUGCUUCAUUGAGAAAUGGAAGAAAUGGUCAUUGUGGUGUUUGGUAGCCGUAUGUUUGUUGGAUGUUUUGGUGUUGUGAUGUUAGAGUGUUUCGACUAUAGUAGGAAGUGUUAAUGUCAUAUGUUUCUUGGAUAAUUUGGCUAUGGUAGGACGAUGUGUUGGCGAGGUAUGUUUGUUGGGUGUUUUGAUAAU
This 261-nucleotide long non-coding RNA is filed under the name Lathyrus oleraceus (garden pea). Its description in RNAcentral is "Pisum sativum (pea) long non-coding RNA (PSAT_LNC025483)". The record is from RNAcentral. Lineage: Eukaryota; Viridiplantae; Streptophyta; Magnoliopsida; Fabales; Fabaceae.